CGCCAGUUGAGCUCCCUCAUCUGAGUACGGCUUGCUCCAAAUCCCUGGGGCGGUGGAGUGGAUAGCGCUGUGUGCAGGGAUGCCAUCCCAACCGGGGCUCUCAGGGAUCCAGCCGGGGUGAGGGAAAAAGAGGCCCACUACUCGGCCGGUGCGGGCUCUCGGAGGCAGGCCCUCCUUUGCAGUGGUGGGCCUGGGAAAGCCUGGCUCUGAGGGCCUGCACUGGCUGAGCAUCGGGCACAUGGCUUGGCCAUGUGCUCUGUCGCCAUGGUAACCCCUCCCUGACCCUCUUUCUCUUUCCACGUGGAUCUUCCCUGCAAGAGUUUUCACCUCUUAUCCCCUCAAGCCCAGGCCAAGCUUACCUGGCACCUUCCGCAGCCUGCACUGCCUGCGCCGCUUGAUGUGACUGAACAAAAACCCUCCUCAGAGCCACAGCAGUGGCUUUUCUUUGUGCCUGGUCCAGCCUUUGAGGCCGGUGGAGGCCCUCACUCCCUUUCCUCAGCUCCCCUUCCCUCGCUAUGCCUGGACGACGCACCCCCUCCUUUUCCGCUCCCUCAUCCGGGGCUUUGGCCACUCCCCCCAAACUGAGGCAGUGGCCUGGCCUGGUGGAGCCCUUUUUGCCGCACUAGUGGCGACCACCAUAUUCCGUGAUGCAACAGGAGGGCGCGGCUUUGAGCAAUACGGUACAUUAAAAGAGGAACAAAAGAAGAACCCUGCUGGAUCACAACAAACGCAUAUUUAGUCCAACAUCCAGUUCUCAGAGAAGCCAGCCAGGUGCCCAUAGGAUGACCAGAAGAACAACACAAGUUUGCAGGAAAGUAGAUAUGAAGACAUCACAGCAUUGCCUGCCCAUAACAAUGCCACCUCAUAUCCCAAAUUGCUACACCCACUCAUCCUGUUUAUUCUACUGAAGAUUUAUUAUGUAUAGAAAAAUGUGCAAGAGGGAGAAAAGGUUAAUAUGGUAAUACACACGGCUCUUGUGGUUUUUUAGUCAGCAGCAGCUGGUGGUGUACAAAGCAACAAGAAGGGCAACCUGCAUUGGAUUACAAUCCAAAUGUUAAAAGUGUGAUUCAAAGUACUAAAUCUAUCAACAUCUUGGGUAAUUCCUUUAACAUUCAGAUUAAAAUCUGGAGCAGCUACCGGCCACUGAAUUUAAUUGGGGGUCAAAAUGUAAAUCUUUGCAAAUGUGAAUACAUCGUGAAAAUGUUAAGAGUGGUAUGUACAGUAAAAAGUCAUUGUGUGAGUAUAAAAAAGACUUAUAUGCAUCAAUUUUUUAGCUUACGAAGUUUUUUGUGCCUCGUUAUUACAGAGCCCAGUUAUGCACAAAAUGUUUCCUUUUGCUCUAAAUACACCCUGCUUUAAAUGGUACUCCUUCUUAGUGGACAGUUUUCAAUGUUUUUGUCCUCUGAACCUGAAUCAGAUUAAUAAAAAACUGAGAAAAAACUUGAA
This is a long non-coding RNA of Anolis carolinensis (green anole), 1446 nucleotides long. RefSeq lists it as uncharacterized. NCBI's taxonomy places the organism in Eukaryota, Metazoa, Chordata, Lepidosauria, Squamata, Anolidae. The transcript is spliced from 3 exons. The record is from RefSeq and is a predicted model, not a curated record.